AAAUUGUUGGUUAAACCACCGCAUGAAUGGACUAUGGAGGGAACAGCCGAAUUAAAGUUGUACUGUCUUAUAUCAUAUAAGGAGAGAUUCAUUUUCGUUUCCCUCGUUUGUAUCGCCACCUUCUGGCUUUCUCUUCAAUUCUAUCGCCCAUUUUCCUCUAAAGAAGCCUAAUAAUUUCUCNUUUCCCUCGUUUGUAUCGCCACCUUCUGGCUUUCUCUUCAAUUCUAUCGCCCAUUUUCCUCUAAAGAAGCCUAAUAAUUUCUCAUACAUCAUUCGUAAAUUUCAUCAAUCGCAUUAAAUUCUCCACUUCAUUUGUUGUUUUUAAUUAUUUGCAUAAUAAACGUAUUGG
This 349-nucleotide long non-coding RNA is filed under the name Olea europaea (common olive). RNAcentral describes it as "long non-coding RNA (OEUR_LNC011266)". Lineage: Eukaryota; Viridiplantae; Streptophyta; Magnoliopsida; Lamiales; Oleaceae. The record is from RNAcentral.